GACAUGGAUGGGGCUUUGAAUGUAUGCAUGCUUAACUUUGAUCUUUACUGUUAGUUAUUUUAAUUUUGCAUUGUGGAAGCUGUUCGUCCUAAAUUGUUGAGACCUGCAAUUAUUUUAUUUAACAACCUGUUGCAAGUUAUAGGAUUCUGGAUCAAUGUGCUACAUGCUGAAACAUUAUUGCAUAAUUGGUUAUGUGUUUUUUAGUUGUCCCAAUGUGCAUUCAGCACCAUAUAUUGGUGUAAAAUGCAUUGUGAUCGGAAGCUGCAAUGAUUGUAGAAGCAAACCACAUGCA
This 292-nucleotide unclassified non-coding RNA is filed under the name Hevea brasiliensis (rubber tree). Lineage: Eukaryota; Viridiplantae; Streptophyta; Magnoliopsida; Malpighiales; Euphorbiaceae. The record is from RNAcentral.